CAUUGAAAUAGGUUGCAGAUGACAAGUAACAACAUACUAAAGAAACAUAAACUUUGAACCAACUUGAUGAGCAAAAAGUGAAAAAUGCACACAUGCUAAUCAACAGUAUAACGGCCAAGACAUUUACAAAGGACUUCAAUGUUGAGAGGUCCCCUUCUGUACCUUGAUUAGGGAAAUGGCCUUGCAAAUAAAAAUUAGCAAGUAAUUGAUCCUUUAGCUGGAAUGUAUUCAUCAACCAAGCAGCAACUUUCUCUUCAGAUGUUGGGAUUUCAUCA
Molecule: unclassified non-coding RNA, 275 nt
Filed under: Hevea brasiliensis (rubber tree)
Lineage: Eukaryota; Viridiplantae; Streptophyta; Magnoliopsida; Malpighiales; Euphorbiaceae
Source: RNAcentral